AUGUUAGCAUGAUGUCUUAAUUUACUAACCAUUAGAUAUUUUUUAGGAAAAGUUACAAAAAACUACCCUAUAAUUUUGCACAUUUUUUAAAUAGGAUCCUAAGAUUAACUUUUUUACAAAAUGAUACCUCGAGCUUACGUGCCGUUAGUGAAGAAGAGAAUUUGCCUAAGCGCCGAUAAGAUUAAUUACUAUUUAAUCACUAAGAUUUAGUAAAACUUACAUAUUAGUCUUUGUAUUUUUAAAAUUAAUCUAUUUAAUUGUCGCUAUUUUAAUAAACCUAUAUAUUUGUCCUUACUUGAAU
RNAcentral lists this unclassified non-coding RNA (301 nucleotides) under Hevea brasiliensis (rubber tree). Lineage: Eukaryota; Viridiplantae; Streptophyta; Magnoliopsida; Malpighiales; Euphorbiaceae. The record is from RNAcentral.